RNAcentral lists this long non-coding RNA (2743 nucleotides) under Mytilus galloprovincialis (Mediterranean mussel). Lineage: Eukaryota; Metazoa; Mollusca; Bivalvia; Mytilida; Mytilidae. The record is from RNAcentral.
AGCCAACGUAUUUUAACGUAUUUUAAGAAAAGGUAAGGCUAAUUUCCGUUGUAUUUCUAUCAUUAAAGCAGUCAAACUAAGAAUGGGUUUUAAUCUACUAGAAAUUGAUUUCAUAAGAGAUAAAUGUUAUCCUUCACUGUUAACUUAGGAGUAAAAUGUUCAUCUGUAUAAAAGUUCGACCAAAAACCGUUUGGUAAAACCUACAACUUUAGAUUAUUUGUGUACAAGACCAUUUCAGUAUUGUUCUUACAAUGUCAUAUAUAUGCUUCGGACUACUUUUGUUUUAUUUUCAACCAAGCCUCAAAACAUAACUAGAUAAAGACAAUUGAGAAUGGAAAUGGGGAAUGUGCCAAAGAGACAACAACCCGAUCAUAGAGCAGACAACAGCAGAAGGUCACCAACAGGUCUUCAAUGAAACGAGAAAUUCCCACACAAAUUUGACCGUCAGAAAACUAUCAUGUUGGUUGAAUCUCGUCCUUGGUCAUAGAAAUAAUAGGCAAUAUAUUAAUGAAGGGUAUUGUUUAUCAUGAAUCGCGGUUAGACUAGUUGCCUAAAUUAAGAGUAUAAUUUGUUCACCAUUUAAUUGUAAAAUGUAUCGGACUUGAUUAAAAUCAGAGUAUAAUCUUAUAGUGCAGAGAAGAAGCAAUAUUAUACAUAAAUAUAUAUUUAAAGAACUAUACAUUGCUGUUUUAACUUCUCGAUAGCAAGCAUAUCACAAAUGCCGAUGCCCUCGACUUUCUUUCAAAAGAAAUCAAUUAUCAUAUCAAAGUCCCAAGAAAUGUACUGAUAUAGAACGGGAAGUACACUAAAAUUAAGAAUGGAAAUGGGGAAUGUGUCAAAAAGACAACAACCCAACCAAAGAGCAGACAACAGCCGAAGGUCGGCAAUCUGUCUUAAAUGCAGCGAGAAACUCCCGCAUCCGUAGGUUGCCUAUAAUUGCUUACAACAACACUUUAUUUGAACUUUGGUGGAUAGUUGUCUCAUUGGCAAGCAUACCACAUCUCUUUAUUUCUAUAUCUAUAUCAAUUCCUUCAACGUGACCUUUUGUAAAUUGUCAUUUUAAUUAUGCUGCCUUUCUUGUCUUUUCUUCAGAGUUAUGUAAAAAACAACCAUAUGAAAAAUGGUAUCUACGUGCGCCGUAAAUAAUUUUAUAAUUAGUAGCUAUAAAUGGUGGGCUAGAUGCUUAGGAAACGGUGUUCAGAAUAAAUAUCAAAUACAUUUUAUUCACAAAUAUUUUGUUUGCGUCGUAGGGUCUUAUUGACUUAUAACGAACAGCUCAUAUUUAUUAUUUUUUAUGAAUAACUUUGUUUGGCCGGUUUCAUCUUGGACUAUCGCAUGACACUUCUUAUUAAAUGACACCUAUCUCUAAAAGGACUUGACUAGUUUGAAUAUAAUGGAUGAACCCUUGUUCUAGGAAGCUUGUAUAAAACUUUUAUCCGACCACUUAUAAUUAAGCAAACGCAGUAUGGUAAAGAGAAAAUAGUAUAAGCAAUAUUCACUGUAUUAUGUCUCAAUCUAUAAAAAGUAAAAAUCACAAAAGUACUGAAUUCAAAACGGAAAAUCCCUAAUCAAUUAAAUGGCAAAAUGAAAAACUCCAUAACAUUAAACGAAUGGGCAUACUGUCAUAUUUCUGACUUGUUAUAAGCAUUUUCUUAUGUAGAAAAGGGUGGAUUAAACCCGGAUUUAUAGCUAGCUAAACCUCUCACUUAUAUGACAGUCGCAUCGAAUUCCAUUAUAUUGACAACUAUAUAUGAAAUAAUCAAACUGACAUAAACUGUAAAAAUGUCAAACAUAUGAGUACAGCAGUCAACAUUGUGUUAUAAACUUAAUCACUAUAAAACAAACAAAUCUGUAACAAAGAAGCACAAAAGGGCAUACAUAGACAAACCACAUAAGCAAUAACGAAUAAGACAAGAAUACAAAAAAUUACAAUAGCACAAAAACAUAAUGUCGGGAUGUAUAAGUACAGAGCCACGCCAUAUGUAUCAAAGAAACACAUAAAGGCAUAUCGACCUUUUUUAGCACAAUAUACAUGAGAUGUGGAAUGAUUGGCAAAUUUGAAAUGUGAAAUCAGUCAGAAUUUUUUUUUACGUGUAGUAACAAAAUAUAACAAAUAGCUUUGAUAUAAUGCUUGUUGUUCUCUUUCAGAAUUAUGUCAAAUGAAUCAAGUCCACCAAACAAGAUGGCCGCCAUUUCUUCUUAAGAAUGUUAUAAAUAUGGAUUGAAAAAAAAAACAACUUUCAAACAUUAUUGUUUUAAGUAAUGUUGAUUUUUUUUACGUAGCUUCUUUUCAAAAUGGUGCGUUGGAUGACACAGCCUGGUAUCAAUAUAGAACACAUAACGUAUAGGACAUACACCUGAAAUGAAAUUGUUUUAAAAUCUUCUUUAAUUAAUUAUUCUAUGAUUAAUAACAUGUAGGUAUUUGAUUUACUAAUUUGCUGCCAACUCUAAGACCGAAAUGUACGAUAAAUCAAGUUAGAAAUAUAACAGAGGUCAUUUGGGCUAUUUGAUAAUAAUUAACAAUCUUUACUAUGCAGAUUGUAUUGCAAUGGAAGGUUUCUAAAUGCCCUGCAUCUAUUUAACGUUUAGCUUUAUACAAACCACAAUUUUAAACAUUUACCUUGGAAACCUUUAUAUGCAUACAACUAUAUUAUAUUUUAGUUUAGAAUAAAUAUAAAUAUAAUCAAUGAUAUCAGUUCAUGACAGCACACAAUUAAGCUCAAACAAACACACAGACACGCAC